AGAAGGUGCAAGCGUUACUCGGAAUUACUGGGCGUAAAGCGUCUGUAGGUUUUUUACCACGUCUGGCGUGAAAUUUCGGGGCUCAACCCCGUCCCCACGCUGGAGACGAGUCGGAUAGAGUCAUUCAGGGGCAUCUGGAAUGUCGUGUGUAGGGGUAAAAUCCGUAGAUACACGAUGGAACGCCAAAAGUGAAGACAGGAUGCUAGGAAUGUACUGACACUCAGAGACGAAAGCGUGGGGAGCAAAGGGGAUUAGAUACCCCCGUAGUCCACGCCCUAAACGAUGCGAGCUCGGUGUGGGACUUUCAAUCAAGUCCCGUGCCCUAACUUACGCGGUAAGCUCGCCGCCUGGGAAGUACGGCCGCAAGGCUA
This 371-nucleotide ribosomal RNA is filed under the name uncultured bacterium. RNAcentral's name for it is "bacterial SSU rRNA". It matches the Rfam family "Bacterial small subunit ribosomal RNA", at positions 527 to 896 of the family's 1533-position model. The record is from RNAcentral.